AUUCUCUGGCUUCUCUUCAGAUUGAAUAAAUCUUUCGCUUAUUACUAAAGCUUUCCGUGGAGAGGAACAACUUUGAGUUUUUAAAUGAUUUUAAGGCAGAUCUCUCUGCCC
Bombina bombina (fire-bellied toad) is the source of this 111-nucleotide small nuclear RNA. RefSeq annotates it as U5 spliceosomal RNA. The transcript has a single exon. Lineage: Eukaryota; Metazoa; Chordata; Amphibia; Anura; Bombinatoridae. The record is from RefSeq and is a predicted model, not a curated record.